Long non-coding RNA from Callithrix jacchus (white-tufted-ear marmoset), 791 nucleotides. RefSeq lists it as uncharacterized. Lineage: Eukaryota; Metazoa; Chordata; Mammalia; Primates; Cebidae. The record is from RefSeq and is a predicted model, not a curated record.
CCUGUUUAUAGUUACUUGGUUAAUUCUCUCAACAAAUUGUUUUAAAUUUGCUUGCUUGUGUUUUGCGAUUUUAAUAUCUCAACAUAAGGCAAUGUUAGAUCAAAAAGACAGGGCUCCUGCUUCCCCAACACCCCAUUUUGUAGAUAAGACAUGAUGAGACAGAGAAGGGUGGAACAUUUAUAAUGGAUUCCUGAAAUAAUCUAGAUUUUUCACUCUUUCAGGUCAGGGAAACCAGUGUAAAGUCUCAACCCAGAGACUGUUUCUGUUCACCCACCAGCUGCGAAACCUGCAGGUGCCCUGCAAACAAGGGAAUGCUUGAACGCUCAAGAAAUGCUUACUGACUGAAUCAUGCAAAAUGAACAGAUGAAUGAACACAGUCUCUGGCAAAAUGGUGACUUUGCUUUUUAACACCGUCACCCUUGAUGCUACUGUUUGGAAGUUUGAAUUCUCAAGAAUCAUGUUGAAAUUUGAGCUCCAAUGUUGAAGAUGAGGAAUAAGUGGAGAUGUUUGGGUAAUGGGGGCAAAACCCUCAUGAAUGGCUUGGUGUCAUGUUCAAGGUAACGAAUGAGUUUCCACUUUAUUAGUUCUCAUAGGGGCUGGUUUUUAAAAAUAACCUGGAACAUUUCUUCCCUCUAUCUUGCUUCCUUUCUUGCCAUGUGAUCACUGCACGUGCCAUUACUGGAAGCAGCCUGUAGUCCUCAUGAAAAGCACAUAUUGAUGCCAUGCUUCUUGUAUAGUCUGCAGAAUUGUGAGCCAAAUAAACCUCUUAAUAAACUUCUUCUCUCUGUAAA